UGCAUCCUUUACAUUGUGCAA
RNAcentral lists this non-coding RNA (21 nucleotides) under Caenorhabditis elegans. Lineage: Eukaryota; Metazoa; Nematoda; Chromadorea; Rhabditida; Rhabditidae. The record is from RNAcentral.